Molecule: long non-coding RNA, 510 nt
Organism: Oncorhynchus keta (chum salmon)
Lineage: Eukaryota; Metazoa; Chordata; Actinopteri; Salmoniformes; Salmonidae
Exons: 3
Source: RefSeq, a predicted model, not a curated record
CUGCAGCAUGUGUAGGUUCCCAUUCAGUCCUUAUAUUACUGUAGCAUAGGCUCUGCUGCAGCAUGUGUAGGUUCCCAUUCAGUCCUUAUAUUACUGUAGCAUAGGCUCUGCUGCAGCAUGUGUAGGUUCCCAUUCAGUCCUUAUAUUACUGUAGCAUAGGCUCUGCUGCAGCAUGUGUAGGUUCCCAUUCAGUCCUUAUAUUACUGUAGCAUAGGCUCUGCUGCAGCAUGUGUAGGUUCCCAUUCAGUCCUUAUAUUACUGUAGCAUAGGCUCUGCUGCAGCAUGUGUAGGUUCCCAUUCAGUCCUUAUAUUACUGUAGCAUAGGCUCUGCUGCAGCAUGUGUAGGUUCCCAUUCAGUCCUUAUAUUACUGUAGCAUAGGCUCUGCUGCAGCAUGUGUAGGUUCCCAUUCAGUCCUUAUAUUACUGUAGCAUAGGCUCUGCUGCAGCAUGUGUAGGUUCCCAUUCAGUCCUUAUAUUACUGUAGCAUAGGCUCUGCUGCAGCAUGUGUAG